Molecule: non-coding RNA, 87 nt
Organism: Acacia auriculiformis
Lineage: Eukaryota; Viridiplantae; Streptophyta; Magnoliopsida; Fabales; Fabaceae
Source: Rfam
UGCUUUCCUCCUGGUAUAUUUUGCAUUUGCUGGUUUCUUUAAGAGGAAAUCGAGCAACAAGUGACAUGAAUGCAGAACUGGAAAGAU